UUUCACCACACGUUCGGUUGUUUUAGGUAUCUCACAGCCCCAAAAUGCAGCUAAGAAAAGGGCAGAGGGGGUAAUGAAUUCGGUGGCCAAAAGGACUAGAACCAUGGAAUACAAACCAUCCCUUUGUCUUUUAGUCACCCUAGGAAGAAAGAGUUACAAUGAUUAAUAACAUAAAUAAGCAGAGGGCAUAUAUGGAAAUAACAGAAUCCAGAACACCCAAGGUUUCCCCACCUUAAGUUUUCCCGGCCUUGGCUUUCCACAUCUGCAACAAUCGCCCCUUCAGCUCUCCAAUCUACUUCCUCACCUUUGCAACCCUCCCUGCAGUAGUCCCCCAAUGGAGCCCUUUCCCCUGUAAACCCUCUGCAGCCCAGCCUCUACCCAUUCUGAUGCGGACAUCCAUUUAUUAUUUAUUUUCUAUUUGGACUAUUAGUUAUAUUUUAUUUGGACUAUUGUUUAUGUUUUCGCUAUUGGGCUUGCUUAGUGGAUUUGGCCCAAGCCCUUCUCUUUAGGGUUUGUGUUCUGCUAUUUAUUUCUGUUUUGUUUCUCAUUUGAGACAGUUGAUGAUGAAUUAGAAUUGAAAUAUUUUUGGUGGCUUGCAGCCGUUUUCUCCCUCCCCUCUCUUCCCCUGGUUUCUUCUCCUCUUCUCCAUUCUCUCUGUUUCUCCUCCCCGUUCCUUCUUCUUUCUUUCUUAUUCAUCCUACAUCAAAUUUGGUAUCAGAGCUAAAUCUUGGGUAUUUUUCUCUUAUAAUUCAAAAUUUUCUUCUUUCCCUUUUCCCAAAACUUGUUGAACAGCAGAAACAAAAAGGAUUUGUUGGAAGAUAGUAGUUUUCCUUCCUAGGUCAAAAAAAAAAAAAAAAAAAAUUUAUUGUUCAUUGUGGGUACUGUUACGCCCAGAAUUUCAGUUUUGCGAUCUGUCAAUUUCCACAAAAAAAAAAAAAAAAACUGUUCCCGGGUACUGUUCAUCCGCGGGGAAAAAAAAAUCCGAGUUGUUAUGUUACUGCUGCUACUUCCUACAAACCCUAAUCCAUACACACAAUCAAUUAUUAAUCCAAAUAGCCCAUUAUAACACCUAGUCAAAUAUUCUAGUCUCCAAAUCAUUUAACUCGUUACUCAGACUUAAUCUACAUCGACAUAAUCAUAAGUAGCCCAAGUCCUAGAGGCCAUUAUCCACAUCUCAUAUUCAGCCCAAUAAGGUCAUUACAUCAACCCAAUUAUCCAAUCUGGCCAAUAACCCAAUCCCCAGCCCAUUUAUCACAUAUUUAGCCCAACUAACCCAACCUACUCUCUACGACCCAGGCCCACUCUCUAAACACUAACCCAAACUGGCCCAUCUCUAUAACAGGAUCUAAACCCCUUCCCAUUUGGCCCAGUCCCAAAUAUCCGACCAAGCCCGAUUAUAACCAAUCAAUUAACAUCAAAUACCUCACAGUUUCACCCGAUUCCUCUCUCACAACCACUCUCUUGCUGCCAUCGCCUCUAAUCACCAUCACGCUACCACUUCAUUAUCUAUUGUACCCAGGCAUCUAGAGCACUAUCGCUUCAUCGCCAUAGGCCACCACCACCAACCCAAGAUCAUACACUUCCACCACAGUUACCACACUCAUAUAUUUCCUCGUCCAUCUCAACAAUCUAAAAGCCACAGUCACCACACUUAAUUUUACGUCCACACCAGAGCCAACACAAGUUACAGUCAACAGAGGUUAAAACCAUUGGACACGAAGGGAAGAACAGAAGCAUAGUUGGGGCUUAUAAGUUGGCAAUUCAAAUCAAGCGGCAUACAAAUAAUCAAACUAAACUACAGGGAGUUGCUAUCUCCUAAUUCUCAUUGGUUUAUACUGCUGUUUUAUUUUAAAAGUGCAUCACUUAGAUUCUUUGUGUUGC
This 1881-nucleotide long non-coding RNA is filed under the name Olea europaea subsp. europaea. Lineage: Eukaryota; Viridiplantae; Streptophyta; Magnoliopsida; Lamiales; Oleaceae. The record is from RNAcentral.